RNAcentral lists this ribosomal RNA (539 nucleotides) under uncultured archaeon. RNAcentral's name for it is "bacterial SSU rRNA". It matches the Rfam family "Archaeal small subunit ribosomal RNA", at positions 460 to 997 of the family's 1478-position model. The record is from RNAcentral.
AGCAGCCGCGGGAACACCGGCGGCCCGAGUGGUGAUCGUGAUUAUUGGGUCUAAAGGGUCCGUAGCCGGUCUGGUCAGUCCUCCGGGAAAUCUGAUAGCUCAACUAUUAGGCUUUCGGGGGAUACUGCCAGACUUGGAACCGGGAGAGGUAAGAGGUACUACAGGGGUAGGAGUGAAAUCUUGUAAUCCCUGUGGGACCACCUGUGGCAAAGGCGUCUUACCAGAACGGGUUCGACGGUGAGGGACGAAAGCUGGGGGCACGAACCGGAUUAGAUACCCGGGUAGUCCCAGCCGUAAACGAUGCUCGCUAGGUGUCAGGCAUGGCGCGACCGUGUCUGGUGCCGCAGGGAAGCCGUGAAGCGAGCCACCUGGGAAGUACGGCCGCAAGGCUGAAACUUAAAGGAAUUGGCGGGGGAGCACAACAACGGGUGGAGCCCUGCGGUUUAAUUGGACUCAACGCCGGACAACUCACCGGGGGCGACAGCAAUAUGUAGGCCAAGCUGAAGACUUUGCCUGAAUCGCUGAGAAGUGGUGCAUGG